RNAcentral lists this ribosomal RNA (451 nucleotides) under uncultured bacterium. RNAcentral describes it as "bacterial SSU rRNA". It matches the Rfam family "Bacterial small subunit ribosomal RNA", at positions 328 to 793 of the family's 1533-position model. The record is from RNAcentral.
UUUCCAGACUCCUACGGGAGGCAGCAGUGGGGAAUAUUGGGCAAUGGGCGCAAGCCUGACCCAGCAACGCCGCGUGAAGGAAGAAGGCUUUCGGGUUGUAAACUUCUUUUCUCAGGGACGAAGAAAGUGACGGUACCUGAGGAAUAAGCCACGGCUAACUACGUGCCAGCAGCCGCGGUAAUACGUAGGUGGCAAGCGUUGUCCGGAAUUACUGGGUGUAAAGGGAGCGCAGGCGGGAAGCCAAGUCAGCUGUGAAAACUACGGGCUUAACUUGUAGACUGCAGUUGAAACUGGUUUUCUUGAGUGAAGUAGAGGUUGGCGGAAUUCCGAGUGUAGCGGUGAAAUGCGUAGAUAUUCGGAGGAACACCGGUGGCGAAGGCGGCCAACUGGGCUUUAACUGACGCUGAGGCUCGAAAGUGUGGGGAGCAAACAGGAUUAGAUACCCUUGUAC